RNA transcript from Ziziphus jujuba (common jujube), 6093 nucleotides. It is a transcript of the gene named probable disease resistance protein At4g27220, with no coding region annotated. The transcript is spliced from 9 exons. The record is from RefSeq and is a predicted model, not a curated record. Lineage: Eukaryota; Viridiplantae; Streptophyta; Magnoliopsida; Rosales; Rhamnaceae.
CAACAAUAUCUUUAUGGUUCCAUUUAAUUCCUUUCAACUAUGUAGCCAAUAUCAGACGACGGCCUACUGCUUAAGCAUUUCCUCUGCUUUUCCUCUGCUUAAGCAUUUCCUCUGUUAAUUCCUCGUUUUUAUUUAUUGAUCUCUGCUUGAAGCUUGCUUUGCUAAACUUCUCAACUCAUAAAAAAAAAAAAAAAAUUGCCCCUUCAAAACGAAAAUUAAAGAAAAGCUGCAAACGGGCUUGCAUACUCGAUCGAUUUGCUACUGGUGUUUAUGAGAGAUCAGCUUGCAGGAACCAAAAGAAAAAGAAGGAGAAUACUUGGGAGCAGUAAGUAGUAAUCAAGCAGUGGCCAUGGAGUUUCUUGCUGCAAUUGGUGGUUCAAUUGUUGGAAAAAUUGCCAAGUCUACUAUUGAACCAAUUGGCCGCCGGUUUGGUUACCUCUUUUACUUCGAAUCCAAUAUCAGCAAUCUCAAAACACAAUUUCAACAUCUGAAGGAUACCAAACAAGAUUUACAAAACACCCUUGAUUUGGCAACAAGAAGAGGUGAAGAAAUUAAACAAAGCGUCAAGAAUUGGUUGAUCCAAGCAGAUAGCAUCUCUGAAAUGGUAGAAAGCUUUCUAAGUGAUGAAGGCCAAUCGAAUACAGGGUGUUCCAUUAAGUGUUUUCCCAAUUUGGUGCUACGUCAUCGACUCAGCCGGAGAGCCAAGAAGAUGGCUCAGUCUGUUGUUGAAAUCAAAGAAGCCGCCGGCAAAUUCGAUAAGGUUUCCAAAGUUUCAAUUCCACAGAACAUUAUCGAAACCAAAGGCUACAUGGUUUUUGACACAAGAAAUUCCAUUUUGAAAGGGAUUAUGGAAGCACUUCGAAAUAAUGAUAUCAGAAUGAUUGGAGUGUGGGGCAUGCCAGGUGUGGGCAAAACCACACUUGGUAAAGAAGUUGCGAAACGUGCCUUGGAAGCCAAGUUAUUCAAUGAUGCCGUUGAGGUUGCGGUAUCUGCAUCUCCGAAACUUGAAAAGAUUCAACAAGAUAUUGCAGACAGACUUGGUUUGGACUUCCAUGCGAAAGGUGUACAGGCCAGAGCACUUCAUUUAAGACAUCGACUAAGGACCGAAGAAAAAUUCCUUAUAAUUCUAGAUGAUGUCUGGAUGAAGCUAGACUUACUUGAGAUCGGAAUAUGUUUAGAGGAUGAUCAGAAGGGAUGCAAGAUAUUGCUAACCUCAAGAUCUCAAAGUGUGUUAGAAGAUGAUAUGGGUGUGGAUCCGGGCAACAAUUUCAAAGUUGAACUUUUGUCAGAUAGUGAAGCAUGGACUUGGUUUUCAAAGAUAGUAGGUGAUAGCGUGUUAUCAGAUGAAAAUUCUGAUGAGUUCAAAGAUUUGGCAACUCAAAUUGUGGAUAAAUGUGCAUGCUUACCACUUAUGAUCAUAACAGUUGCUCAUGCUUUGAAAAACAAAGGAAUACACCAUUGGAAGGAUGCAUUGACACGUCUUCAGAUGUCCUCCGUGGAUGAAGCUAUAUAUACAAGUGUAAAACUAAGUUUUGAUAUUUUGAAAAAGGAAGAAGCAAGGAGGAUAUUGUUGUUCUGUAGUUUAUAUGGAGAAGAUGAGGAAAUAUCAAUCAACGAGUUGCUGGAUUUGUGUGUGGGAUGGGGUUUGUUCAAACAUGUCCAUACUCUUGAAAAGGCAAGAAACAGGUUGCAGACAUUGCUGGAUGAACUAAUAUCGCAUUGUUUGUUGUUGAAAAGUAAAGAUUCAGUGAAGAUGCAUGAUGUCAUUCGCGAUGUUGGAAUAACAAUUGCUGCGUCGGAAGAUUUCAAAAUGUAUAAUAUCAGAAGUAAUGAUGAGCUAACGGAGUAUCUAGAUGACAACAACAAACUCAAAGACUCCAUUGCAAUUUCACUUGGUCCCAGUUAUGAUGAUGAAUGUCUACCGUCGAGAUUGAAUUGUCCAGAACUCCUCUUGCUUUUGAUGAAGGGAAGAGAAUAUUCUUCACUUCCAGACAACUUUUUUGAAGAAACGAAAAAGCUGAAAAUUUUAUAUCUAUAUUCUCUACGUUUGAAACCAUUGCCUUCUUCCUUCUGUUGCCUUAAAAAUCUUCAGGCAUUGCAUUUGGUUGGAGCAGUUGAACUAGGAGACAUACACUUGAUUGGAGAGCUAAAGAAAUUAAAAGUUCUUGACCUUAGACGAUCCAAAAUGAAGCAACUGCCAGAGCAAAUAGGACAAUUGACUUGUUUAUGUAAGUUGGAUUUGAGUCGUUGUUACAAUCUCCAAGUGGUCCCACCGCAUGUGAUAUCGAGAUUGGUAAAUUUAGAAGAGUUGAAAAUGAUAGAAAGCUUUAGGAAUUGGAAGGCAGAAGGACUAGUCGAUGAUGAAAAUAGAACUAAUGCCAGCCUUAGUGAGAUAAAGAAGUUGAUUAAGUUGACUUCUUUAUAUUUGGAGAUACCACAUGUCAACAUGCUGCCUAAAGACUUGUUUAGUACAAAAUUGGAAAGAUAUUACAUAAGUUUAGGAGAUUGCUAUGUAUACAGCAUGGAUGGUUCAAGAGGAUUGAAACUCAACUUGGAAUUAGAAACAAGCAGUUUGUUAAAGGAGCGUGGUUUUCAAAUGCUGUUGAAAAGGUCAGAAUAUUUGCAUAUAAAUAAAUUUAAUGGUUUGAAAAACAUUGUUUGUGAAUUAGAUAAGAUCGGUGGUCUUGCACAUUUGAAAGCUCUCAAAGUCCAUGGUAAUGAUAAAAUCCAAUACAUGAUUGACUGCUUAUCAAUGGAGACCAACCAUAUUUCUCAUGAUAGUGUCUUACCAAGUUUAGAGAGAUUUUCAUUUAAUACGGUGGACAACUUAGAAGAGAUAUGCCAUGGGCAACUCAGAGGCGCAAUGUCACUUGGAAAAUUAAGAAAGGCCGAGGUUGUGUCGUGUAAUAAAUUGAAGAAUCUGUUACCAUUCUCCAUUGCCAAAAGGCUUGAGGAAAUUAAAGUGUGGUACUGCUCCAUGAUGGAAGAGAUAGUUACAUCUGAAAGAGUAAAAGAUGCUAUAAACUCUGAAGCCGUGGAUAGAAUUGAGUUUCCUAAUCUUAAGCGUAUGGAACUUGACCAUCUACCACAGCUUACUCGAUUUUGCGCGGAGUGUGACACAAGUGGUACCCCCGAUCAAGGCCACACACUUUUCAACCAAAAGGUUGCUCUUCCCAGCUUACAAGUCUUGGAUUUGAAAUCGCUGCAAUUGAAAAGGAUAUGGGCAGACCAACUUUGGCAAACAUGUUACCUGCAGAAUUUAAGAGAGUUGUCUGUUCGAUGGUGCUAUAGUUUAAAGUAUCUGUUAUCAUUUGCUAUGGCUAGGAGCCUUGUACAACUUGAGGAGUUAGUUGUGUAUGGGUGUAAGGGCAUGAAAGAGAUAAUAAUCAUAAAGGAACCAACAGUCACCUUUGACGAUUCUGAUGAAUUAGAGAUAAUGGAGCUUCCUAAACUAAAGCGUAUAAGACUUGAUGAUCUACCCAAGCUUAUUCAAUUCUGCUCGCAGUCUCAAGGCCAAGGGAGCAAGCAGCUAAUGUUUUCAGAUUCUACUUCAGCAUUUUUCAACCAAGAGGUUGCCUUCCCUAGCUUAGAAUACUUGAGUUUAAGAGGUCUUAGUCGUUCCAUGAAAAGGGUAUGGCCAAACCAGCUUCUGGUAUCAUCUAAUUUAAGAACGUUUGAUCUUGAGGGCUGCCAUAGCAUAAAGUAUGUUUUACCAUUUGCAAUUGCCGAAAGCCUAGUACAGCUUAAGAAAUUAAGUGUACGCAAAUGUCUUGAGGUGGAAGUGAUAAUAAUGCUAAAGGAACCAAAAGAAGAAGUUGAAAAGAUUGAUAAAAAGCUGCUCCCUAAUCUGGAACAUGUAGAGCUAAGAGAUCUCCCAAAUCUUGCAAGAUUCUGCUCUAUUGAAACUAAUAUAUGUGCCCUUAAUUUUAUACGGAAAGUGUUGAUAACUGAUUGCCCAAAGCUGUGGUCUCCUCGUGAUGAAAAGGUUGAGUACUUUUCUGGUGGCCUGGACAUGUCUUCUCUUAAUUCUGUACAACAAAGAGUGCCAUAUGAUCUUCUUGUGCCUAAUUUAACGACCAAGUUGACAUUGUACGCCUGUAAUAAUGUAGAGAAUCUAUUAUCAGCAUCGGUGACUAAAAGUUUUGUGCAUCUCAGAACCCUGCAAGUAAGUGACUGUGAGCUGUUGAAAGAGGUAGUAUUCACAGAAGAGUCUGGAGAUGGAAUAAGGUCCCACAAGAUUUGUUUCCCAGCAUUGAAAAUUCUUAGGCUUUCCCAUCUAACGAACAUCGAAAAGUUUUGUGCAGGAGAUCACAUCGAAUGUCUGUUUUUGGAAUCGUUGGAAAUAAAAGGUUGUCCUAAACUCAGCACAUUCAUCUCCCGUUCUACAGAUCACAAAGCAGUACCCGAAGAAACGGACAUGGAUUCAGUGGCUACGCAACCAGCUCUAUUCAACAACCAGAAGAUUACACUUCCGAAAUUGAGAAUUAUGGUGCUGGAGAGGUGCAAUUCGAUAAUUGAGAUAUGGCAUGUAGAUGAUACUAAAGACAGAGGCCAACAGAGUGCAAGAUCAAGAUCAGCAAUAUUCCAGAGUUUGGAAUUUCUACAAGUAUCUGAAUGUGGGAGUUUAAACAAGUUAUUAGAGGCUAAUUCCUCUGUGAGUUUUGAAAAUUUGACAGAUCUUAAGGUGUUAAAAUGUAAUAGAAUGGAAUAUUUAUUAAGCCCCUCAGCGGCUAAAACUCUGGUACAACUCGAAAAGAUGGGCGUAUCUGAAUGCGAAGCAAUGAAAGGGAUAAUUGCACCAUCAUCAUCAUCAGAAGCUGAUCAUGAUGACGAUAAGCUUUUUAUUGCUAGUUUUGAUAAUUUGGAAGUUCUGGUGCUCGAUUCCUUACCCAGCCUCACAAGCUUCCACGUGGGAAAAUGUGCAUUGGAAUUUCCAAAACUGAGCCCCGUAGUUGUAGCUGGGAAUUGCCCUGAGCUGCGGAGUUUCUGUGGUCAUGGAAGUACCAUAACCACCCCUAAACUCACGACAUUUGUCAGAAAAAGAACUGAACCAUUUAGGGAUUUAUAUACAUGGAUUGAAGAUACUGAUACCCAAAUUACAAUACAUGAUUAUUGGUUCAAGUCGCUUACUCUUGAUUUAGAAACGGACGACAAGAUAGAGCUGCAGGAGGAGGGUGGCAGUAUUGAUAUUAAUACCACCAUUCAACAGUUCUGGGAGAAUUACCAUCCACAAAAGUAACAUCAACACCAGGAAGAAGAGGAAGUGACUAUGAUGUGUAUCUUUCUUUUUCCCCAAGGAAGAGGAAACGAAACGGGAAGUGGAGAGACACCAGAGGAUUGCUCUUGCUAAGUCAGACAAAUCGGAAGAAAAACAUGCUAGUAGUUACCUGAAACUACAGAUGAGUGAGGCUGAAGCUCAGAAGAAUUAUCUGUUUGAGAAGUUAAAGCUUCAAGAUAGUUCACGGGCAUCACAAAACAGUGGUGGGGUGACCCUUCAUAGAUUCCAAUCUCAGGAGAGAUACUACCGGAUCCUAAGAGUACCGUGACAUUUGUUAUCAUAAAAAACUAGAAAUUUAGGCUUUUUUUUUAAUUGAAGAAUAAAACAACUGCAUUGCAUUUUCAGAGAAGGUUUCUUUCUGCUCCCAUUUUGAUUUUGUGCUAUUGUGUUUUGUCACCAUAUUAUCUUCAUCAAUUUUUUUUCGAAUUUUCUCUUACUUGCAAGACUCUGGGACCAAAAUUAAACAGAAGCACAAGGGAUUACAUACUGGUUUUGCUGUUGGCAUUCAUAUAGAAGAGACCAAGGGUUCUUUGUGUCUUUUGCUAAGAUUUUUCAUCUUCCAAGAACUGAAAAGGAAAGGACCAACUGCACAACAUUUCGUAGCAGGACGAAAAUUGAAGAGGAGCCGAUCAAGAAGGAUUGCAUAUCGCUAUAUAUUUAAUUAUUGGAAAAAUAUAUAUUUUAUAUAUUUUUUAAUGAUAAAUUACAAUAAAAGUACUCUACAGUAAUGGAUCAAACUUGUUCAGCAAAUUUUUGUACCAAUUAAUUAAUAUGACAAAUAAUGUGAUAAUAUUUUAUUAGCUUCUUAUAUUGAA